Molecule: long non-coding RNA, 349 nt
Organism: Harpia harpyja (harpy eagle)
Lineage: Eukaryota; Metazoa; Chordata; Aves; Accipitriformes; Accipitridae
Exons: 3
Source: RefSeq, a predicted model, not a curated record
CGCCGCCGCAGGGUGUGCGGCCAAACAGGCGGAGCCUCCCGCCGAGGGUGGAGGCUGCCGGGCUGGGGGCCUGAGAGGCGGUGCUGGAGAGCGAGCGCCGCCCGCCGGCGGGAAGAGCGGCUCCUCGCCUCCCGCCCGCCGCCGCGGAAAGGUAAUUGGGAACGGUGGCAUGCCACUUACGUUGAAUUUGUGCCAUUGAAUGCAAUCAGACUACAGGGUUGAAAACAAGUGAAAAGCAAUUAGACAGAUUUUACAGCCAGGGCAACUGCUUCAACCCCUGACUAUCGUGGUGGUCCUUUGCUGGAUUUGCUCAACUUGAUCACCUUUUCUGUACUGGCAGCCCCAAAAC